Molecule: long non-coding RNA, 2667 nt
Organism: Melopsittacus undulatus (budgerigar)
Lineage: Eukaryota; Metazoa; Chordata; Aves; Psittaciformes; Psittaculidae
Exons: 6
Source: RefSeq, a predicted model, not a curated record
CCAGACCCUGACAUUUGGUACAGAGGGAAAGUGAAGCACAAUGGAAUGUAAUGGCUAAAAUGUAAAGGUUAAAAAAUAGUAAUAAAAAGGAAUAUAAUGGGGUAGUUCAUUCCCUGUGGGAUGUCCAUAAAUACAAGAUGCGCCAGCAACUCCUGAAAUGACAAAAUAUAAAAGGAUUGCAGAAUUAUGGUUCUGUCCUCCAGAACUGAGAAACACAUUUUGGAGACAAAUAGAGAAAUCUCAGCUUUAAAAAAUGAGCCCUUAUGUUGUGCUGGCAACCUUGUUAACGAAGAAAAAUGUAUUUAUUGUUUGCUGUCUAACUGACAAUAACACACAAUAUUAAGAAAAAAUUAAUGCCAGCUGAGUCCAGCACAUUUGGAGACAGCUAGAAGAGGAUGAUACUUCCUAACUUUUUCAUUUACUGUAGGGCUAGACUUGAAUAUUUACACAACAGUUGAGUUCCAGUUUCUUCCAUGGCAGCCUCAAAAUUCACUGAUCCUAUUCUCUGCAUGCUUCCAUGGUACAGACGGUAACCAUGAUUACAUGGAUACCUAAUGACUUAGAUAAGAUUUGGUGUAGUUUGGUGAUCUACUCAGAGAAACUAGACCAUCAGUUUCCCACUGCACUAGUGAGGCAGGAUAAUUAAUUCUUAUUAAAAUCAGCAAAUUUAAAAAGAAGGUGGAAUGGUGAUUUGCAGAUUUCCUUUUAGCAAGCCACAAGUACAUCUGUAUGGUCCUUCUUGUGAAUCUUUUUCACCAUACCUGGAACAACUGGAAAAAGCAGAUGCACACAAGGAUCAUAUGACUACUUCAUGUCAGCUUAGAGAAAGAAACAGAGGUAAAGUUCACAGGCCCCAAAGAGUAAGUGAAAAAAAGGUCACAGACUCACUCUUUGCCCUUCAGGGAGCAGAAAUAAUGGGGAGUGAGGAAGAUUGACUGAAAGAUUAGGAUUUUAUAAACUUUAUUACUAGUGUUGAAAAGGGUUAUCAACAAAGAGCUUUCAGUUUAAAUUUUAGAUGGUGAGAACACCAGCAGUAUGUGGGGCCAGAUGAAACAAAUCAUCCAUCAAACUGUAAAAGCCUAUCUCCCCAUCCUUUACCCUUUUGGCAGUGUUUUCUUCCUUUCACAGUUUGUUCUGCCCUUACAGACUCUCUACUCAGCUGUGGAAAUUUGCUCUUCCCCUGGAAAAAGACAGCAUUGAUCUAGCAGGCAUCAGGGUCCAGGGUGACCCUACUAUAAAUGUACGUGCAUCUCCUAUGCAUGGCAGAGGGGACUUUAACCUGAUCUGAAGCUAAUGGAGCAAGCAAGAACGUGAGCACAGAGGGCAAAACUGCUCUCAACUCCACAUUGAUGACAUCUAGAACCACAGCAGCUUUAAGAUAAAAGAGAAGAUGCCCCUGAACUUUGAAGUCUGGUGAAAUACAUGCUCCAGGCAGCACACAAUACAGAGAGAGUAUCUGUGUCAUCUGUUUCGGGCUCUGGGGCAAGAUAACCAGGCUGUAGUUUGAAAGAGGUGUUAAUCAGUGAUCCUCUGACAAGGAGCAGUGAGUUGGAGGGAAGUUUCAAUGACCAAGUGUCUGCAACCUGUCACGGCUGUAAAGAGAGAAACAAAUCAAGUACUUGUGGAUGCUAUUCAAUAGCACAAGGCACACGCAGCCCCCAAGGACAUGAAUAUUCAACAGGUGUAACUAAUUACCAACACACCUGUAAGCAGUGUUUCCUAGAAGAGCUAUCACGUAUUUCUUCUGUAAUAAAGGAGUCAGGCUGACUGAUAUGAUAUGCAUAUGGAUGUCAUCUCCAAUAUAAAUACUGCAGGAAAGGGACUUCUACAGGAGGUGAGUGCUGGCUUAGGUGACUGUGCUCUGAGGAGACUGUAAGAGAGAACAGCAGAAAGAAGAGGUUCAGAAAAUAGGACCUAAAAUAGAGGUUGAAACAACUGUCUGUCUUUGGUCUAUAAGCAAGAAAAUUCAAGUGAGAUGUAUGUCUUCUAACACAAAAAGGACUAUAAAGGUUAUAAAGAAAGGAUCGAUAAAACUGUUGCUGUGUAAUUGUCAGUUCUGCUAAGGGAAAUGGCAAAAUGAAAUUAGUUUAAUUCGCAACAAAGGAGAAUUCAGACUUACAUUUUUGGGGUUUGUUUUUGGUUUAGAAAGCAUAUUGAUUUGGGCUGAAAAUUUAAAGAACUCUUAAUACUAAGAGCAAUAAAGUUCUUCAACAGCCUUCCAGUAGGAGUAAUGAUGAUAAAUUGGUAAAGCUCACUAUUUUUAAGGUGGACUUUAAAUACACUGUGUAGAACAUACAAAUCUAAAUAGAAAGUUAAAUGGAUUUUGUAAAAUCAGUACUCCAGUAUGUACUGAUACAGUUCACAAUAAAGACGCAGUAGUGCUUGUAGUGGUCCUGUUCUGAUUUGUCUUUAACUUUUUGGAAUAGUGAAGUAACACUUCCUUUUUGCUCUUUGUAAAGGUCAGGUAGCAUUUCAUAUAGACUUGCCCACAUUUCAUCAGGGAUAUAGAUGGUGAAAUUUUACAACCAAGCAGUAUUUCUGGACCUGCAGUAUAGAGUUAUAGCAUUAGCCUUACAUCUCUCCUUUGCCCUUUUGGUUGUUGCAAUCUAUUGCUGUCCCACAGCAUUUCAGCCAGAUAAAAUUGUUUCAGGGAACCAGAUUCCAGGC